CACACCGACUUCCUGGUUAAGGAAUCCUUGGGCAAGACCGCAAGGGAAACAAUCACCAACCUGAGAAACAAAUAGCAAGCAAGCAAUAGGGACGAUGACGAUGAGGCUGUCUUCCAUAGCUUUGUGGCUCUCAUCCUUGUUGAUUCUCUCGACUGUGUCUUAUGUCUUUUCUGCACCUCGUUCGCUGCUUCAGAGAUUGUCCGAAAGCAACAAGUACUUGACCACUGAAGAGCUCUGGUUCAGUCAGAUUCUCGAUCACUAU
Molecule: unclassified non-coding RNA, 262 nt
Filed under: Hevea brasiliensis (rubber tree)
Lineage: Eukaryota; Viridiplantae; Streptophyta; Magnoliopsida; Malpighiales; Euphorbiaceae
Source: RNAcentral